Long non-coding RNA from Tympanuchus pallidicinctus (lesser prairie-chicken), 674 nucleotides. RefSeq lists it as uncharacterized. The record is from RefSeq and is a predicted model, not a curated record. NCBI's taxonomy places the organism in Eukaryota, Metazoa, Chordata, Aves, Galliformes, Phasianidae. The transcript has 3 exons.
UUUGCAAAGGGAGAGAUGAUGACUCUUCAAAUGCCACUGCAUUGCUGAAAGGACUUACAAAGAAAUGUUGUCUGUGAAUAUUUGAGCAGGAGAGCAUUCUGCACUGGGACGUCCCUGGAUGUGCUGUGACAUGAAGUUCUGACUUCACGUGGGUUGCAAGCGGGUUGCUGUUGUUAGCCUGCAGUGUGAGAAGGCUUUUAAAAGGUCCCAGUCAGAUGCUUUACCUUUACAUGCCCAUCUCCUGGGAUUUUUAAGGUAAACAUGCCCACUCUUCGCUGUUGCUGUCUCUGAGCUUCUUCAGAAGAGAUGUGUGAUUUUCUCCAGAAAACAAGACAUCUGAAUAUUUUCCUAUGCCAUGUUUCUGUCAAAGCCUGGUCCCAGUCGUUCAGCGGGAAGGGAGCCAAGAGCUCAUGCUGAAGAGGUAACAGCUCCUCUGCUCUCCGGCCCCAAAUGGCUCCACUAAGAAAUUUCUGAGAAUCUCUCCUUCCUCUCGUCAAGUUUUGAUUUCAGCACAUCAGCAUUUCUGAGCGAGGGGGAAAAAAGGAAAGCAUACAAAUCCCAAACAAUGCAUUUCUUGGAACAUUCCCAGCUGUAUAACCAGGUAACGUACCAGGCAUUCAGGAGAGCUGGCUUCAGUGCAAGACCUGGGGGAGUCGCUCAGGGUAAGAUUCCAA